UACGUAGGGCGCGAGCGUUGUCCGGAUUUAUUGGGCGUAAAGGGCUCGUAGGCGGUUUGUCGCGUCGGUCGUGGAAUCCUGCAGCUUAACUGUGGUGGUGCGGUCGAUACGGGCAGACUUGAGGUCGGUUGGGGCAAGUGGAAUUCCCGGUGUAGCGGUGAAAUGCGCAGAGAUCGGGAGGAACACCGAUGGCGAAGGCAGCUUGCUGGGCCGGUCCUGACGCUGAGGAGCGAAAGCGUGGGUAGCGAACAGG
This 253-nucleotide ribosomal RNA is filed under the name uncultured Actinomycetes bacterium. Its description in RNAcentral is "partial 16S ribosomal RNA". It matches the Rfam family "Bacterial small subunit ribosomal RNA", at positions 524 to 776 of the family's 1533-position model. Lineage: Bacteria; Bacillati; Actinomycetota; Actinomycetes. The record is from RNAcentral.